GCCUCAGUAGCGCAGUAGGUAGCGCGUCAGUCUCAUAAUCUGAAGGUCGUGAGUUCGAUUCUCACCUGGGGCA
RNAcentral lists this transfer RNA (73 nucleotides) under Centruroides sculpturatus (bark scorpion). Its description in RNAcentral is "tRNA-Met". It matches the Rfam family "tRNA". Rfam says of the family: Transfer RNA (tRNA) molecules are approximately 80 nucleotides in length. Their secondary structure includes four short double-helical elements and three loops (D, anti-codon, and T loops). The record is from RNAcentral. Lineage: Eukaryota; Metazoa; Arthropoda; Arachnida; Scorpiones; Buthidae.